Long non-coding RNA from Cavia porcellus (domestic guinea pig), 2339 nucleotides. RefSeq lists it as uncharacterized. The transcript is spliced from 2 exons. The record is from RefSeq and is a predicted model, not a curated record. NCBI's taxonomy places the organism in Eukaryota, Metazoa, Chordata, Mammalia, Rodentia, Caviidae.
CCAAAGCCGAGCAUCUCCUGACAGUGCUGUGGGAACUGUACUUCAACCUGUGAGCCACGCUCCUCUCUGUUCGGAAUCACGGCAAGGAGAUGCCUAACCCUCCCCGCUCUCCCUGAGCCAGCCAGAAUGACAGGAAAAUGCACCAUCUGACUUCACUGGAGCAUUUUCUGGGCUCAUCUUCCUGUGAUUAGAGUAUUGCAAUAAUCCAAUUGUUCACAAUAAGUGGCUUUUAUUGAUUUUGCAGAUUAGAGCUAGAAGAUUGCUCAGAACGACAAACUGCAGAAGGGAGUGUGAUAUUCAGGUGUCUGUGUCUUCACCCAAGCUUAUCAGCCAGUCAGUGUCUGUCUGCAUUCACUUGUGUUUGAGAGGGCCACUGCUGUGGGGUCUCUGCAGGCUCGGUCUGGGGGGUUUCUGUCUGGGAGUGCAUCUGCAUGGAGGUGGGGAGAGUGCAGGGAGAGUGAAGGCUGCUAGCAUGCGUUAGCUGUGUUUGUGCUUGUGUGUCUACAGGAGAUGUGUGUAAUGAUAAUGUGUGUACAAGGAUGUCUAUGUGUGCACACAUAGGAGGUCUGCGUGAGUGACUGUGUGUGAGCCAACAGGUACAGUGUGUGUGUGUAUGUGUGUGUACAUGGGAAAUCAAUGUGGGUGACUGUGCCCAGAGCACAGAAUGGGUAGUGUGUGUGUGCACAUGCAUAUGUGUGUUCGUGUGUCAGGGACUGUGCGGGGCUUCUGCAGUGAUCGUGGCAUGACCUCAUGUGCAUCAGGAGUCACCACAGGGUGCCUUGGAAACGUGUUGGCUCUGAAGUUGGGAGAUGUUUCCACCUGUGACACAAAGAUGCAGGAAAUCCCUCUUUGCUGAGCAGAGUGGUGCCGUGUGACAUCUUUGUGAUGUGUGCUGAUGGGACCGUGACACGUGCAGUUGCCAAGGGGAGGAGAAAGCACCGUGUGAGAGCUGCACAGCCCGUUGUCCUGGGCUGCCCUUCUUACCCAGCCUGGAUUCGGAGGAGCAGCUUCCAGGCUGCCAGUCUGACAAUAAGGCUCCAAGCUGGGAGCUGCAGUUGAAAGCUUCUGUCCAGAAGGGAAACGUACUUGGAAUAAACCAUACAUUUCCCACUUCAUCUUUGCAGAGAUAUUUUAUAUUCCUCAGAUCCUCCGAAGCAGUGACCCCUGAGCAUUGUAAAGCCUGCCUUUCAGGAUGCAUCCUCUAGCUGAGCUUCAGGCUCCCUUUGAGCUCCUGACAUUUGGGGCAGCUCUCAGCCUUGUGCUAAGCCUGCCCCCAGGGCUGGUCCUUUUCCAAGAUAUCUGGUGCUGGGCUCUGGAUUCCAGCAGUGGGGGAUUAAAUUCCCAGUUUACUACUUAAUCCCCUCAUUUGGAAAUUGAAUAAUAACAGUUCCGAUCCUGGAGAAAGGUUCUGAAGAUUUGUUGAAAUGAUGUAUGGGAAAGUGAUCAGUCUCAUGCCUAGGACUUGCUAAGUGCUCAAAAUGUGAAUGUUUGAUGGUGAUAUCUAAGGAUGAUUACAACUGCCACAUGGAGGGGUAAAGACCUCCUUCAUCUGUUCCCCUCCUAACCUGUGCUCCUAUUUCCUUCCCAUAGGAGAAGGUCUACCUUGAGGUGACUGAGAGAAACAACUCCACAGGUGUGAGAAAAGCAAUACAUGGUUUCAGUUUGCUCAUGCUGCACUGACCAGGGUCAUUCUAAAUUCUAAAUUCCCCCUUUUUUUCCCCACUUCCUUUCUGCCUGCUGUGCAGGUUAGUUGUUCCCUGUCUCCUAGUGCCCCGUAAAACCUCCUCUUCCCAUCUCCCAGCUCAGGGGCUCUCACACACUUCUGUAUCGGGCUCUGGACUGUCUGUCUCACAUACAUAAGGCUGCUUAGCCUACUUUCAAAAACCAGACUUGAAAGAAUCCAAGCACACAAAGUCAGGUACUGUCUGUUCCCAGGCAUUUGUGGAGACCCAAAAGAAAGUGCUCAUGGUGACAUGGCCUGGAGGAGUGGUCUCCAGAAACCGGAACAGGGAGGGGAGGAGGAGAAGUCUAAUCAGAGGCGCUAAAACACAUGGAGACGGGAGGAAUUUGCGCUGGUUUUCUAUAGAAUAGUAGCAUAACUAUUGGUUAAAGCAACCUAUGAUAUAUUUCAAAAUGAUGAAAGAACACAGUUCCCCAGCAUAUAAAAAUGAUUAACGUUUUAAAAAAAUGAUUGAUGUUUAAUGAUUAAUCAAGGAAAUGAAAACUGAUUUGAUCACUGCUUGUUAUAAAUGUGUAUUGAAGUGUCUUACUGGACCCCAUAAAGAUGCAAAUAUUAUGUCUUGAUGUAAAGUUAAAAUAAUAAAAAUAAACCGAAAUGA